AAAAAAAAAAGAAAAAAAGGAAAAAGAAAGAGGAGGGUGCAAAAUCAAAAGAAAUCAAAAGAAAGCAAAAUCAAAAGCAAAAUCAAAAGAAAAAAAACAAAAGAAAGAUAGCACCCUCAAAGUCCCAAGUUGACUAAUGUUGAAUUCGACGGAAAGAACGAAAAGAUCAACUGCCAUGUGUCAUGGUCAAGUUAUAUCAGCAGAGAGUGAAGAAAGCAUUCGAUAAGAAGAUCAAGCCUCGUGUGUUCUGAGGGACCUUGUGCUCAAGAAAGUCUUGUCUUUCGUGCC
Molecule: long non-coding RNA, 288 nt
Filed under: Lathyrus oleraceus (garden pea)
Lineage: Eukaryota; Viridiplantae; Streptophyta; Magnoliopsida; Fabales; Fabaceae
Description: Pisum sativum (pea) long non-coding RNA (PSAT_LNC036774)
Source: RNAcentral